RNAcentral lists this ribosomal RNA (2896 nucleotides) under human metagenome. Its description in RNAcentral is "bacterial LSU rRNA". It matches the Rfam family "Bacterial large subunit ribosomal RNA". The record is from RNAcentral.
UCAAGUGAAUAAGUGCAUCAGGUGGAUGCCUUGGCGAUGAUAGGCGACGAAGGACGUGUAAGCCUGCGAAAAGCGUGGGGGAGCUGGCAAUAAAGCUAUGAUCCCGCGAUGUCCGAAUGGGGAAACCCACUGCAUUCUGUGCAGUAUCCUAAGUUGAAUACAUAGACUUAGAGAAGCGAACCCGGAGAACUGAACCAUCUAAGUACCCGGAGGAAAAGAAAUCAACCGAGAUUCCGCAAGUAGUGGCGAGCGAACGCGGAGGAGCCUGUACGUAAUAACUGUCGAGAUAGAAGAACAAGCUGGGAAGCUUGACCAUAGUGGGUGAUAGUCCCGUAUUCGAAAUCUCAACAGUGGUACUAAGCGUACGAAAAGUAGGGCGGGACACGUGAAAUCCUGUCUGAAGAUGGGGGGACCAUCCUCCAAGGCUAAAUACUCAUCAUCGACCGAUAGUGAACCAGUACCGUGAGGGAAAGGCGAAAAGAACCCCGGGAGGGGAGUGAAAUAGAACCUGAAACCUGAUGCAUACAAACAGUGGGAGCGGAAUAAUUCCGUGACUGCGUACCUUUUGUAUAAUGGGUCAACGACUUACAUUCAGUAGCGAGCUUAACCGGAUAGGGGAGGCGUAGGGAAACCGAGUCUUAAUAGGGCGAAGAGUUGCUGGGUGUAGACCCGAAACCGAGUGAUCUAUCCAUGGCCAGGUUGAAGGUGCCGUAACAGGUACUGGAGGACCGAACCCACGCAUGUUGCAAAAUGCGGGGAUGAGCUGUGGAUAGGGGUGAAAGGCUAAACAAACUCGGAGAUAGCUGGUUCUCCCCGAAAACUAUUUAGGUAGUGCCUCGAGCAAGACACUGAUGGGGGUAAAGCACUGUUAUGGCUAGGGGGUUAUUGCAACUUACCAACCCAUGGCAAACUAAGAAUACCAUCAAGUGGUUCCUCGGGAGACAGACAGCGGGUGCUAACGUCCGUUGUCAAGAGGGAAACAACCCAGACCGCCAGCUAAGGUCCCAAAUGAUAGAUUAAGUGGUAAACGAAGUGGGAAGGCCCAGACAGCCAGGAUGUUGGCUUAGAAGCAGCCAUCAUUUAAAGAAAGCGUAAUAGCUCACUGGUCGAGUCGUCCUGCGCGGAAGAUGUAACGGGGCUCAAAUCUAUAACCGAAGCUGCGGAUGCACCUAGUGCAUGGUAGGGGAGCGUUCUGUAGGCCUGAGAAGGUGUAUCGUAAGGUAUGCUGGAGGUAUCAGAAGUGCGAAUGUUGACAUGAGUAGCGAUAAAGCGGGUGAAAAGCCCGCUCGCCGAAAGCCCAAGGUUUCCUACGCAACGUUCAUCGGCGUAGGGUGAGUCGGCCCCUAAGGCGAGGCAGAAAUGCGUAGUCGAUGGGAAACAGGUUAAUAUUCCUGUACUUGAUUCAAAUGCGAUGUGGGGACGGAGAAGGUUAGGUUAGCAAGCUGUUGGAAUAGCUUGUUUAAGCCGGUAGGUGGAAGACUUAGGCAAAUCCGGGUCUUCUUAACACCGAGAAGUGACGACGAGUGUCUACGGACAUGAAGUAACCGAUACCACGCUUCCAGGAAAAGCCACUAAGCUUCAGUUUGAAUCGAACCGUACCGCAAACCGACACAGGUGGGCAGGAUGAGAAUUCUAAGGCGCUUGAGAGAACUCGGGAGAAGGAACUCGGCAAAUUGACACCGUAACUUCGGAAGAAGGUGUGCCUUGGUAGCUUGAGUGUGAACAACACAAGGGCAAAGAGGUUGCAAAGAAUAGGUGGCUGCGACUGUUUAUUAAAAACACAGCACUCUGCAAACACGAAAGUGGACGUAUAGGGUGUGAUGCCUGCCCGGUGCUGGAAGGUUAAUUGAUGGUGUAAUCGAAAGAGAAGCUCCUGAUCGAAGCCCCAGUAAACGGCGGCCGUAACUAUAACGGUCCUAAGGUAGCGAAAUUCCUUGUCGGGUAAGUUCCGACCCGCACGAAUGGCGUAACGAUGGCCACACUGUCUCCUCCCGAGACUCAGCGAAGUUGAAAUGGUUGUGAAGAUGCAAUCUCCCCGCUGCUAGACGGAAAGACCCCGUGAACCUUUACUGUAGCUUUGCAUUGGACUUUGAAGUCACUUGUGUAGGAUAGGUGGGAGGCUUAGAAGCAGAGACGCCAGUCUCUGUGGAGCCGUCCUUGAAAUACCACCCUGGUGUCUUUGAGGUUCUAACCCAGACCCGUAAUCCGGGUCGGGGACCGUGCAUGGUAGGCAGUUUGACUGGGGCGGUCUCCUCCCAAAGAGUAACGGAGGAGUUCGAAGGUUACCUAGGUCCGGUCGGAAAUCGGACUGAUAGUGCAAUGGCAAAAGGUAGCUUAACUGCGAGACCGACAAGUCGAGCAGGUGCGAAAGCAGGACAUAGUGAUCCGGUGGUUCUGUAUGGAAGGGCCAUCGCUCAACGGAUAAAAGGUACUCCGGGGAUAACAGGCUGAUUCCGCCCAAGAGUUCAUAUCGACGGCGGAGUUUGGCACCUCGAUGUCGGCUCAUCACAUCCUGGGGCUGUAGUCGGUCCCAAGGGUAUGGCUGUUCGCCAUUUAAAGUGGUACGUGAGCUGGGUUUAAAACGUCGUGAGACAGUUUGGUCCCUAUCUGCAGUGGGCGUUGGAAGUUUGACGGGGGCUGCUCCUAGUACGAGAGGACCGGAGUGGACGAACCUCUGGUGUACCGGUUGUCACGCCAGUGGCAUCGCCGGGUAGCUAAGUUCGGAAGAGAUAAGCGCUGAAAGCAUCUAAGCGCGAAACUCGCCUGAAGAUGAGACUUCCCUUGCGGUUUAACCGCACUAAAGAGUCGUUCGAGACCAGGACGUUGAUAGGUGGGGUGUGGAAGCGCGGUAACGCGUGAAGCUAACCCAUACUAAUUGCUCGUGAGGCUUGACUCU